CAGUCGAGCGGUAGAGAGAAGCUUGCUUCUCUUGAGAGCGGCGGACGGGUGAGUAAUGCCUAGGAAUCUGCCUGGUAGUGGGGGAUAACGUUCGGAAACGGACGCUAAUACCGCAUACGUCCUACGGGAGAAAGCAGGGGACCUUCGGGCCUUGCGCUAUCAGAUGAGCCUAGGUCGGAUUAGCUAGUUGGUGAGGUAAUGGCUCACCAAGGCGACGAUCCGUAACUGGUCUGAGAGGAUGAUCAGUCACACUGGAACUGAGACACGGUCCAGACUCCUACGGGAGGCAGCAGUGGGGAAUAUUGGACAAUGGGCGAAAGCCUGAUCCAGCCAUGCCGCGUGUGUGAAGAAGGUCUUCGGAUUGUAAAGCACUUUAAGUUGGGAGGAAGGGUUGUAGAUUAAUACUCUGCAAUUUUGACGUUACCGACAGAAUAAGCACCGGCUAACUCUGUGCCAGCAGCCGCGGUAAUACAGAGGGUGCAAGCGUUAAUCGGAAUUACUGGGCGUAAAGCGCGCGUAGGUGGUUUGUUAAGUUGGAUGUGAAAUCCCCGGGCUCAACCUGGGAACUGCAUUCAAAACUGACUGACUAGAGUAUGGUAGAGGGUGGUGGAAUUUCCUGUGUAGCGGUGAAAUGCGUAGAUAUAGGAAGGAACACCAGUGGCGAAGGCGACCACCUGGACUAAUACUGACACUGAGGUGCGAAAGCGUGGGGAGCAAACAGG
This 722-nucleotide ribosomal RNA is filed under the name bacterium LGM65. RNAcentral's name for it is "bacterial SSU rRNA". It matches the Rfam family "Bacterial small subunit ribosomal RNA", at positions 59 to 776 of the family's 1533-position model. The record is from RNAcentral.